Molecule: ribosomal RNA, 253 nt
Filed under: uncultured bacterium
Lineage: Bacteria
Description: partial 16S ribosomal RNA
Rfam family: Bacterial small subunit ribosomal RNA
Source: RNAcentral
UACGGAGGGAGCUAGCGUUGUUCGGAAUUACUGGGCGUAAAGCGCGCGUAGGCGGCUUUGUAAGUUAGAGGUGAAAGCCCGGGGCUCAACCCCGGAACUGCCUUUAAAACUGCAUCGCUUGAAUCCGGGAGAGGUGAGUGGAAUUCCGAGUGUAGAGGUGAAAUUCGUAGAUAUUAGGAAGAACACCAGUGGCGAAGGCGGCCUACUGGUCCGGCACUGACGCUGAGGUGCGAAAGCGUGGGGAGCAAACAGG